RNAcentral lists this ribosomal RNA (183 nucleotides) under Acartia tonsa. Its description in RNAcentral is "partial 16S ribosomal RNA". The record is from RNAcentral. Lineage: Eukaryota; Metazoa; Arthropoda; Copepoda; Calanoida; Acartiidae.
UUUGGGGUAAAUUAAAAAAAAAAUAUUNUUUAAUUAAUUUGAUCUUGACAAAAUUAAUUGAAAAAGGUACUCUAGGGAUAACAGCGUUAUAAUUAUUAAAGAUCAUAUUUAAAUAGUUGUUUGCGACCUCGAUGUUGAAUUGCGAAUAGUUUUUNAAAGCAGAAAUUAAAGAUAUUNAGGUCU